This 75-nucleotide transfer RNA is filed under the name bacterium. RNAcentral's name for it is "tRNA-Gln". It matches the Rfam family "tRNA". From Rfam's summary of the family: Transfer RNA (tRNA) molecules are approximately 80 nucleotides in length. RNAcentral also lists the same sequence under 2 other names. The record is from RNAcentral.
UGGGGAGUGGUGCAGUGGUAGCACGUCUGACUCUGGAUCAGAAUGUCGGGGGUUCGAAUCCUCCCUCCCCAGCCA